GUCCACGCCCUAAACGAUGCGAGCUCGAUGUGGGAGGUUCUCAAUUGCCUUCCGUGUCUUAGCUAACGCGGUAAGCUCGCCGCCUGGGAAGUACGGUCGCAAGACUAAACUCAAAGGAAUAGACGGGGACCCACACAAGCGGUGGAGCAUGGGGUUUAAUUCGAUAAUAAGCGAAGAACCUCACCUAGGCUUGACAUCUCGGGAAGCUUCCAGAAACGGAGGCGUGCCGCAAGGAACCCGAAGACAGGCGCUGCACGGUUGUCGU
Molecule: ribosomal RNA, 265 nt
Filed under: uncultured bacterium
Lineage: Bacteria
Description: partial 16S ribosomal RNA
Rfam family: Bacterial small subunit ribosomal RNA
Source: RNAcentral